UUCACUCAAAACAAAAUAGUUGCCCAUCCGGAACAAAUCGUAGGACUUGCAGUGCUAUUACUAGAAAAUAAAAUAAAAAAGACGUUCGCUGGCCAACGUGGAAGCCAGCUUAGCCGUCCUACCCUGACCCAUGCGGCCACCUCAGCGCACGCGUGGGCACUGUAGCCAACUACAGCCCGUGUGUGCAUAUACUUGGUCUUGGUCUUCCUCUUCUUCCCCGCGCGCUCCUCCCCCAUUCCCCCGGCGACCAACCCCGUCCUCCUCCUCCGGCCCAUCUCCGCCGCGAGCCUAAGAGCUGAACAAUGGCGAAGAUCAAGCCAAAGGCAUUGCUGGCACAGAGCAAGCAGAAGAAGGGCCCUACUCAGAUCGGCCUGGUGAGGAUCAUCACCUACAUCGUCCUCGGCGCCCUAGCAGUGUCCUCCGUUUACUAUGCCUAUCAGUACUGGCAGAGCAAAGGAGCGGCCGUUGCGGCAGCAGCAGGAGCAGCAGAAGGCGUCGUGGGGAACUAAAGCCCCAGGAACGUAGUUGAUUUUGCUGCUGUUGUUGUAUUGUCUUGUCAGUUUUUUCUGGUUGUCGCAGUCCGGUAAAUUUGUGGAACAUUGACAGAGCAUGCGACGCUUAGUGUAUCCCCCUGUAAAUUGCCUUAACAUUUAUGCUUAUAUUUCCUUCUUCGA
Long non-coding RNA from Triticum aestivum (bread wheat), 674 nucleotides. RefSeq lists it as uncharacterized. The transcript has 2 exons. The record is from RefSeq and is a predicted model, not a curated record. NCBI's taxonomy places the organism in Eukaryota, Viridiplantae, Streptophyta, Magnoliopsida, Poales, Poaceae.